Molecule: ribosomal RNA, 301 nt
Filed under: uncultured bacterium
Lineage: Bacteria
Description: partial 16S ribosomal RNA
Rfam family: Bacterial small subunit ribosomal RNA
Source: RNAcentral
CAGCCGCCACGGUAAUACGUAGGGGGCAAGCGUUGUCCGGAAUUAUUGGGCGUAAAGCGCGCGCAGGCGGUUUUUUAAGUCUGGUGUCUAAGUGCGGGGCUCAACCCCGUGACGCACUGGAAACUGGGAGACUUGAGUGCAGGAGAGGAGAGCGGAAUUCCACGUGUAGCGGUGAAAUGCGUAGAGAUGUGGAGGAACACCAGUGGCGAAGGCGGCUCUCUGGACUGUAACUGGCGCUGAGGCGCGAAAGCGUGGGGAGCAAACAGGAUUAGAUACCCCCGUAGUCCCUGUCUCUUAUACC